This is a non-coding RNA of Labrus bergylta (ballan wrasse), 657 nucleotides long. Lineage: Eukaryota; Metazoa; Chordata; Actinopteri; Labriformes; Labridae. The record is from RefSeq and is a predicted model, not a curated record.
GAACACCGUCAUCCCCAUCAUCGCCAUCAUCGCUGCACUCGUUCUUCUCGGCCUCGCUGUCAUUGGAUACAAGAAAUACAGAGGCAGAAAAUCUACAUGUGAAACGUCUCCUGAAAACAGCUCUGAGCUCGCUGAGAAACUGAAUCCAGAGCCUACAUGAUGAACACACCACCCUGCACCCUGUGAGUUUCUCUCUACGGGACGUGGACCAUUCUCACUGUUAAAAACGCCGUUUUAAACGCCUUGUUAAAGAAGCUUCUUUGUUAAACUUGUGUGAGGUUGAAAUCAGUGUAAAUAUGUAGCUUUGUAGAGCUGAUCUCUCCAAACACUGAUGUGUUAAAUGAUUGUUCGGUUUGACCGUCUUCAUCUCUGCAGGUUUCUUGAAACAUUUUGCUCAGGAACAAUCAGAGUGAAGGUCGUCUGUGUGUGUUACUGGAGUCCACCUCUCUCACACUGCAGUCACCGUAACUCUCUGCAAGAUGAGCCAGAAUAAAAACAGACGAGUGGAGUUUCAUCUCAGUGGUGAACUGUCUUAAAUUUGUACCAAACACAGAUAAUAAUUCAAUCUGGUUCCUUCCACGUCUUUAAAAGGCCUCCCUAUGAUCACACACGUGAAAUAAAAUCAUCAGUUCAAGAUUCAUCUUCCAGUUGUGUAAA